RNAcentral lists this ribosomal RNA (457 nucleotides) under uncultured Bacillota bacterium. RNAcentral's name for it is "bacterial SSU rRNA". Lineage: Bacteria; Bacillati; Bacillota. The record is from RNAcentral.
GAGUUUGAUCCUGGCUCAGGACGAACGCUGGCGGCACGCCUAACACAUGCAAGUCGAACGGAGAUAUUUUGGUUUACUGAGAUAUCUUAGUGGCGGACGGGUGAGUAACACGUGAGCAACCUGCCUCUGAGAGAGGGAUAGCUUCUGGAAACGGAUGGUAAUACCUCAUAACAUAACGAAGCCGCAUGACUUUGUUAUCAAAGAUUUAUCACUCAGAGAUGGGCUCGCGUCUGAUUAGAUAGUUGGUGAGGUAACGGCUCACCAAGUCGACGAUCAGUAGCCGGACUGAGAGGUUGAACGGCCACAUUGGGACUGAGACACGGCCCAGACUCCUACGGGAGGCAGCAKUGGGGAAUAUUGCACAAUGGGGGAAACCCUGAUGCAGCGAUGCCGCGUGGAGGAARAAGGWUUUCKGAUUGYAAACUCCUGUCUUAURGGACKAUAUGACGGGUACUUG